CGUGCCCUCAGAUCACUGGUUCUGUAACACUAUGUAAACCUGAUCACGAACGCGAUUUGUCCUCUCUCGCAUCUGGUUCCGUCUGCGGAGGAUGAAAUAAACGUCGUCUGUGGAACGCGCCAUGCAGCGGGCCCUCCUUGGCUCCUUAUCUCGGUUUUUUGAAACAAGCUUUCGGCUUCAGGCACAGUUCAGACACUGAAACCAGCAAUUUUUUACUCCUGGCAUGAGUCUCUUGGUGGGAUCCUGAUUUUUCUAACUACUGCUAAUCAGGGACAAAUCCACUUAUAGGAGAUGAUCAGCUCCCCACUGCUCUAAGUGGAUAAUGCUGCUACACUGACCUUCACCAGCAGACAGUGGCCAAGGAUAAAAUACCACAAUAAAAAACUGGUAUCAGCGAGAGCUCAGCUUAUGUUUCUGUUUGUGGCACAACAACUCUCCAUUUGGUUAGUUUUUUCUUUAAAAUAGUUUGCUAUGUCCAUCCCCAACAGCUGCUUUUUUCCCUUUUUAUUAGACGUAUCUCAGAUGUAGCCCCUGUAACUUGACUUUUCUUACUCAGAUGCUUGGAGAAGUCAGUCCUGAAAAUUGCUGGGUUUAUAUGUACAUUAUGAUUUGAAAGCAAACCAUGGUAUACAUUAGGCCCUAGCUUUUUAAUUAUCAGUUCAUAAUGAAGGGCUGUCUUUGCAGUGUAAAAAGUAAUUUCCUGAAGGUUUCCAAGGUUCCCUGCAGGGUUUCCAAGGCUUGGAAGAAAAUAUAGAUCAUUUGACAAUGAGUCUCUCCAUGUUCACAGUGUAGAAUGGAAAAUUCCAGCUUUGCCAUAAUUGCCUGAUCCCAGAAAAGCAAGUAGCUAUAUACAUAGCAAGCCAGGAGGCAAUGCUGGGAGAGCAGUACACCCACACCAUGAGCAGGCAUAUGUCUUUCCAUGUAUAUAAAGAGCAUUAAAACCAGAAAUGGAUGAUUCAAGCAGUAAAUCUUAAAAAACUACAAAGAAAAAUAUGGAUGGAAGUGCACUCCAUAUGAUAGGACAAAGUUCAGCAGUUUUAAGAGAAAAUACAAAGUUUUCUUCUUUAGAAAGAUCUUUCUCUUCCCUGGCCCUGCAUUUCAUCUAAGUGCUAGCCUCCAUUAAACUAUUCAAGCAAGAAAACCAGAAAGUCAAAAUCAUAAAGCCAAAUUAAACUGAGGAACCAACGCCAAGGUUUUACACUUGAAAAUGGUCAACUGCCAAACCCACCACCGUUGAGAGACUUUCUGAUUGCUCCCAGUUUUCCAAACAAGAUGUACAGACACUGCCAGGGUAUGCAGGCUUUUCUACAAUCAAGAAGCUUUUUAUUUCCUAAAAAGAAACAAUAGAACUUCAGAGAAAGCUGCCCCAAAGUGCAGAUGUAGUGAAACACCAAGAAUGUGGUACAGGAGCUGUACAAAGAUGACUAUAAUAGCUAUGCCAGCCUGAAGCAAGUUAACAACUCACUCCUUAAGAGACUCAAUUCACUGCCUUUUUACAUCUAAACUGAUCUUUUCUUCAGCAGAAUUUAAGUCCUCAUCUUCAGUUCACGCCCAACUUACUACCUACUGGGAAAAAGGCCCCCAUGGCCUCUUGAGAGACAGCAGAUGCUUCCAGAGCAGGAACUCCUGGAGCCCAAGGAGGCCCGUGCAGCCUCACAGGGAGAGGCAAAGUACAGGUGAAACAAGCCCUGCACUCACUCUGCUGUGGUUCAGCAAGGGAGGUGAUGGCACGGUUUAGCAGCAGGAGAAGGAGUCACCCUGUCCCUAUCCAGCCACCUCUCAGACACAGCACUGUGACAGCCUAGGACCAUAGACCUCAUGUGAUAAAUCCUAUUUUUGAAUUUCAGUAUUAAAUCAUUGAGGUCUUACCUCCUACAAGAUCUUUUGGAUGGGGUUUCUGCUGCUCCUUUAAUGACUGUCUUACCAACCAGUCAUUUGCUUCUGCAUUUUGUAUUAGCCAGCUAAUCUUCUCUUUUCCCUCCACAGCCUGAUCACUGCUCCACUACAGAACCUCUCCUCACUUGGACAAAGUCACUUCUACACAAAUCUUUUCAGAUCCUCAGUUUCACAGUGUCCUCACAAGUCUUCCAUGACUGCCAUUAAAGAUUUGCCAUUCCUAGACAGCUUUUCUUUCCAAUUUUCAUCCCAGUAUGUCUUAUCUCAACUCUCAGAUUUCUCUCCAGCUCCAUUAUUUUGGAUUUCUAUCAUCAUGUCUGUGCAUUGUCCUUCUCUGUGUCGUUUUCCAUUAAUUUCCACAAUACUCACUAUUGCCACUCUAAAACCAAUAUAUUUCUACUAAGCCUGACAAAUAUUUAUCUGUCAAAUAGAACAUACUUUGGAAUUAAAAGAGAAAACACUAUAUUACAGCAGAAUCUAGUUUUGGUUUCUGGGCAUGAUCCUAGAUUCACUGCUAACAACAGAACUGUUAUAUCAGGCACGUUGUGCAGACUUUUUACUUGUUUAUUUGAAACAUGAUUUUUGGAAACAGAAUAUUCCCACAUACUUUCUCCACACCUGCUGCUGAAAUGUGAGUGUAGAGCAUGUGCUUUGUCCACAUCACAAGCUAGAACAUACACAGAGCACAAUUCCUGCAAAGAAAAAGGCUGCUUUUUACAAACUUUUUUUAUUUCUAUCAAUUUAUGUGAAUAUCCUACUGAGUUAUUUCACUUAGGAGAGAACUCUGCAGUCAGGGCAUAGGGUUUAAUUAGCUGCUAUCAAGUUAUUAAGCCAGUUCAUAAGGUGUGAAACUGGCUAAUCUACAUUCUGUGGUCAGCUGUUUCCCACAUUCCUUCUCCAAAGCAAACACCUUCUAUAUCCACUUAUUAUUUACCAAAUGUGCUUUGUUACUUGCAACAUAAAUAGGUUUUCAUCCUGUGUGUUAUUAUUUUCCAAACUGCAAGUUUGGAAAAAUUACUUUCUCAUUUUGGAGCUGUUCUAUCCAAAUGGCUGAUAUUUUUUUCCAAAAUCUCCAGCUCUCCUUGUUCCUCUUUUCAUUUGAUUGCAAUUGCAAACUAAACCACAGUUUAGCCUGGGCUUCCCUCAGGAAGGGAUCUGCAGGCACCGGGAGAUAGGAGUGCUAGUGCUAAUGGAGGGUUGGAGAGAGACAAAGUGUUAAGAAAUGCAAAAACCCUCUAGUCCAAAGGUCUGAAUCCUGAGGUAGGUUUGAGGAACAAACAAUUUCCAUAGCAUGUGCUGAGAAUACACAAUCUGCCCUGCAUAUACUUUGAAGCACUGGAUCAAAACACCUGUUACAAGGGAAUCAAACUGUUCCUGGAGGUUUCAAAGGCUAAUACAUGCCUUGCUGCAGCCCACAGCUCCAUGGCCCUCCAAGUGGUAGGGGCAUUCUGCAUCUUAAUAGCAGGACUUAGAGCCAAUUCACAGGUUACUAAUUUCUGUCCUAAAUCCAAUACUGCAAGCUGGAGCUUAUUUAAUGUGACACAGGACUGUCAUUCCUCCACCAAGAGCCUUGUCACGUUUCCAUUCCUUGCACAGGCAGUCCCAUUUUCAGUCUACUUCUUUGAAUGGAAAAUGUAUCAUCACUAAGAUCAGGAGUCCAACUGUACUGCUGUUCUACUCCCUAUUUAAAAUUUUGUAGCAGAAGGACUAUAAUAAUAAGAAAAUCCACAUCUUACAGAAAAGGUCAGCAUGAACUUACGUAGUUUGAUGCAAGAUCUGGAUGCAGAUAAUCAAUUCCUGCAAUAAAACAAUGACAGAACAGAAACCAAAGGUUAAGAGUUUCAAAAAAGAUUUUCUAAUGAUCACAGAACAAGAUUCCUUUACGACCACAGGAAAAUAAUCAUGCCAAAUAAUGCAACUGAUUGAAGUGAGAUUCCAGUUUUAAAAUGUGGACUUUUCAAUUAUUUAUGUCAAAAUCCAGAUGCCGAUUGAAAAAGUGAGCUGAAUGACAAAGUUUACUGUUUUGUAGACUAGAUCACAUUUACUUAUAAGGAUUAGUUUAAAUGACAAUUUAUCUUUGUAUGAGUUUUGUCAUCUCAAAGCAUACCAAAACUAACAAGAUUGGUAAGCACUGGAUCAGUACAGGAUAGAAAACCAAGUGUUUUUAACCACUGAAAAUUGUAAACUAAGUAGAAAACUACCUAGAGUAGACUUGGGGUGAUCACUAAGGCAAACAUUUCAGAUUAUGUGCAUGAAAGAGAACUUUUAAUAUUGAAUUAAACCAUUUUAGCAAAUACCUGUGCAUAGGCUUCACAUUUUGGUAGCAUGCUAAGGAUUCUAACAGAGCACUGAUGUGUAAUAUACUCAUUCUAUUGCAUGGCAUCUUUCUACACAUGGCAAAUGUACAAAUCCCAGGGGAUGGUGUAACAGAGGCAGCAGAUCUACACUCAGAUAGGAUGACCUAUUACAUAGCCAGUUAAAGCAUACAAAGAAUGGUCGCCAAUCUCAUGUUACUUUUUCAUCAUCACGACUAUCCUGUUUUUCCAACCACCUCACCAGUAUAGAUUAUAUUUUAUUUGCAAGGAGAAUGCCAUAUUGUCAUAGUUAUUCUGAUGAAAAGAUUACUUCUCAUUUUUAGGGUCCUUAUUACUCAUUAGGAAACCCUUGUUACUGAUCCACAUAGUAGAUGGACAAUAAAAAUCUCAAUGAAGAAUCCUGUUAUUCAGGCCCUCUUUUUUAGAGUUACUGGAAACAAACGAUAAGGCAAAUUACUCCCUUCUCUAAAAGCUGUAUCUGAUGGACCAUCAGUUUUAUUGACACAAAACUCAAAUAGUUUGCCAUCAUUCCCAUCGCAGUCAUGCCUUACUAAUUUGAAAGCCAAGUCCUGCCUUUGUGAGAUCAGUGAAACUGUGACUCAAGAGAUCAUCUCUCAGAUGAGAUUGAUCUUUCAUCAGUACACAGAUCAGGUUGCUCAAGGCCUUAUCCAAACUGGCCUUGAACACUGCCACAACCUCCCUUGGCAACAUGUUACAGUAUCUCACCACCCCCAUAGCAAAGAAUUUCUUCCUAAUAUCCAGAUGUCUGAGUUUACUUUCUUGCUUCCACAAAAACCUUGCCAUAGAAGUAAGCAGGUGAGGAUAGAUCCCAGCUGACCCUAGAAAACAUAUAUGGAUACAGACAUUUUAUUGAUUUUUAGUAUUAUUCAGCCCCAUUACAGGAAUAUACUCAAAAUUUAUUCCAAAGAAGAGUGUUGAGAGACUGCAUGGAAUUCCUGUACUUCAGCAAGAACCCAUAAGUAGAACAGCUGUAAUUUCAACUGUACCUUUUAUAUUCAUCUUUCCUGAACUUAGUCUCAAAUUAGUAAUAUAUCUAAUAUGCAGAUCUUUAUUGGCAUUCAGCAUGAAAAUGUUUAAUUAUUUCAGCUACCAAGUAUGACUUUGAAAAUAAUGUAAUCCAAAAAACAUUUUCUUAAAUGUUUUUUGCACAGCAAUUACAUCCUCCAGUCACUGCCUACAGAAGUUAAGGGGAGUUUUUCCUUAGGUUUAACAGCCAUUACAGUGUGCCCUGGAAAAUAUCUGAGUGGUAAUUGCAAGCUACUUUUUAUGCUUGGAUAUCCAUGCUUCAGUACCCCUAUCUUUGUAUCAUAUUUUCCCUGAAGAUCUCAAAGUAUUUAUGUAGGCUGGCAGUCUCACCACUACAAGCAAUCAAUUACUACUUUUUAAUUUUUUUUUUACUUCAAUUAGACGAAAAAUGUCUACUUUAAAGUAUUAAAUUAACACUCAGUCUUCACUUACCAUCAUCCAUAAUUCCUAUGGUUACUCCCUUCCCUGUGUAUCCCAGCUCCCAUGCUUCAGCUACAUUAAGGUCAAGUCCAGGAGUCCCAUCUGCUUGACCAGUGUUAAUCUAAUACAUCAGUGAAAAAGAAAAAUAGCUUUUUUUACUUGACUGAUUUUUUCCUUUAUGUCUUUGCAUGUAUCUUUGGUAUGGAAAAUACAUCUCAUGUUUUGGAGUACACAUCUGUCCAUAAUCAUAUCUACUGCAAUAAUGCAGCUGUAAAGAAAAGAAAAAACCUGAAAAAAUCCAAUACUGGCAAAAUUCAAGUUUUUGUGGUUUAUAAGAUUUGGUUAAACACUGAAUUUUCUGAACCCUAAAAAAGGACUUUUCUACUUAACAUGUCAGGCCAGUGGGUCAAUCCAGGAAAAAAGAUCAAUUGAUUUUACAGAGUACUUUUUUAUGAACAGGAAAUGCUUUCUUCUUGAAAGCAAGGAUCUACUGUAUAGCUUCCUAAAUUGUUGUUAUUUUCAGCAUUGCAACAUUUUGAUUAACUACCAGAAAAUAAGUGAAUUAAUUCUCACUUUAGUUUAUCGACUCAUCAAGGAUAAAAUCCCAUCCACACUAAUGUGCCCCCAUUCAUUUGAAAACUUUUGCCUUAAAAACAAGAAAAACUGCAGCCAUAUUGGAUGGAUUAAUGAAAUGUAAGAAAUUGAUUAAGAGGAAAAAACAUUACUCUUAAGCAAAAAUACCCUUCUUAAUUUAACAAGGCAUUUACUGAGUAUUUCAUCAUAAAUAUGUUGCAACAAUGUAACUGACCAGAAAUACUUUAUCAACUUUUUAAAUAAAAAAAAUCAUUUCAUUUCAAAGUAAAAAUAUAACUUUUCUUUUAUGACUAAAGACUUCUCCCUCUAAAAAAAUGAAACAGAAAAACUGAAUUAAUUUAGCAAAAUAUUAAUUUCCUUUGACAUUAGCUUAAACCAAAAUUCAUCAGUUUUCAGCUGUUCUGUUUUUGACAAAAGAAAUUACAUUCAAAUUUCCAUAAGAAAAGAAAAGCUUCAACUUUUUAGCAAACACUAGAAUCUUUUGUUAUAAGUCCAUAACAAUAUUUUACCUGGCAACAGCUCAGAGACAUGAUUCAUAUGCAGUUUUAGGGGUCACAUCAGCACACCAGCAAUGCCCACAGUGGACAUUGUGGACAUCAAUACAGUUCUCUUUCAAGCCUUUUAAGAAUCUUUCCAUUGACUGAAAUGAAAUUUUUCUCUUGAAAUAUGCUGGAUCUUCCCAAUAUAAACGGCGUACAAUUAAAACCAACACAACAGAGCCUUGGAUCCAUACCCAAGUCCUCAUGGUGCAUUUGGAAAGAACUGUUGGAAAACACUGCAACUGCACAGAAUGGCUUGGAUAACAUUUAUUUAGUUAUGAUUACUGUGAUUUUCUCUCAAAACUUACCAGGUACCACUGCUUUGUAAAUAAAGGAUCAUUCAUGUUGA
Corvus hawaiiensis (hawaiian crow) is the source of this 7160-nucleotide long non-coding RNA. RefSeq lists it as uncharacterized. The transcript is spliced from 2 exons. NCBI's taxonomy places the organism in Eukaryota, Metazoa, Chordata, Aves, Passeriformes, Corvidae. The record is from RefSeq and is a predicted model, not a curated record.